GUUAGUACGCCAACAAAAGGUUCAGCAAAGAUCAAUAUGCCACCAAUGGUAUAGAGUAACGCACUGACUACAUACCAAAGUUUUU
Molecule: transfer RNA, 85 nt
Filed under: Shewanella piezotolerans WP3
Lineage: Bacteria; Pseudomonadati; Pseudomonadota; Gammaproteobacteria; Alteromonadales; Shewanellaceae
Description: tRNA-Leu
Source: RNAcentral